UUAAUUAGUAUUAGUUAUGUUCUUGAAAAUUAAUUAAUUUGGCGGUAUUUUAGUCUAUUCAGAGGAAUCUGUUCUAUAAUUGAUAGUCCACGAAUAUAAAUACUUAUUUUUGUAGUUUAUAUAUCGUCGUAGUUGAAUAUUUUUAGAGAAAAUAAUAUUCAAAAAUUUUUAUAAAAAAUAAAAUCAGAUCAAGAUAUAGCUUAUAAAUAAGAAGAAAUGGAUUACAAUAAAAUUAUUUUUGUUAUAAUUUUUAUAAAUUUAUAUAAAUUGGAUUUGAAAGUAAUAAAAUUAUAUUAAUUUUAUGAUUUUAGCUCUAAAAUAUGUACACAUCGCCCGUC
RNAcentral lists this ribosomal RNA (338 nucleotides) under Dianous nitidulus. RNAcentral's name for it is "partial 12S ribosomal RNA". The record is from RNAcentral. Lineage: Eukaryota; Metazoa; Arthropoda; Insecta; Coleoptera; Staphylinidae.